UGUCGACCAGCUCAUGAACUGCUCAUGUUGUGUCUUAGAGGCAAAUAGACUGCUUUUUGUCAUCAGAUAUUUUAGUGCAAUUAUGGCGGAGUGGCCCAGUGCCUAUGUUUUGAAUCUCAAGAUGUAUCCUGUUAGAUUGAUGUUCUUUUGUUUUUGGUCGUCUGGAAUUCCAGCUACUUUAUUUUGUCAUAUGCUGUUCUUAGAGCAUCUGUUGUGCACAACAUGUUUUCAAGUUUUUUGUAGGAAGUGCUUGUCAUCCCUUUCGAAACAUGGCAUGGGAUUUUUUUUCUUCUUCAACAAAUGUGAGACCCAUGGAGGCUGA
Molecule: long non-coding RNA, 322 nt
Filed under: Sinocyclocheilus grahami
Lineage: Eukaryota; Metazoa; Chordata; Actinopteri; Cypriniformes; Cyprinidae
Description: lncRNA (ENSSGRG00000016496.1)
Source: RNAcentral